UGAUGCCAUCUUUUCUUUUCUGUAGCUAUGGAAUAUUAACAAAAAACGUGAGAUGUAUGUAAGACCAUGGCAUUUUUCGAUGCUCACUAUUUUUUUCCAACUCCAACUUCAUACUCAGAGAGUCACACAAGGAAGGAACUUCUGCAGAUUUCAUGGAAGCUAAUUACCACUUUGAUGUACUGAUGAAGGAUCCACACUCUUGGUCUAUUUGGUACAGCUCAUUCACUGUGAUGGCACCUAACAUGUAUAGUACUCUGCACCAGAGAAUUAGAGAUGUUACAUUCUCAUAUCAGCUUAGAGGAGUCCAAGAUGUUAACACUUAAAAUUACACGGGGCCACCUGUGGUUGAUGUUAAACAUUUUACAACGUCUCAAAUAUCUAAAUGUAGAUGGAGAAAAUAAGUCACUUACGAAAAAUUCCUAUGGAUUAUCAGUAUUAGCUUUUUACCAUUCCUUCUCACUUCCCACCAAAUUUUCUCCUGAUUUCUUUCUUCCUUCUUCCCUCCUUUCUUCCUUCCUCCCUCCCUCCCUUCAUUUUGUCUUUCUUUUUGGAAAAAGAAAAAAAAAAAAAAGAAAAAUUUUUCUCAAGUUCUCCGCGUAGCUUGUAGAUUACAAGUCCGUGAUAAAUCAGCCCCUUGGUCAAUAUGAGCAAGAGUCAAGGGAAGUAACUAACGUUAUCCCAGGGAAAGUUUUCACUGGAAACAAAUCACACAUAAAAGCACUAAUUAGAAUAAUUAUGGCCAUUAUGAUUAUAAUGUCACAGCAGUCUUGCAGUGUGCUAGCUAUCCAGAGUUGUCAUAUUUGCAAAUAGCAUAACUGCACAUAUUAAGAUUUAGAAUUAUUUUAUUCACUAUGGAAAAUAAGCCAUUUCUUUACACUUUGCAAAUAAGCACAUACAUAUAUAUCCAAAAUAUUAUGGUCUCUAAGAAGCCUAAUACACAAUGUGAAAAAAUGUGGGCAAGGGAAAAAGUGUGACUUUUUUAUUUAAAAAGUGAAUAUUCACUUAUGAUCCCAAGGAAGUGUCUGUGUGGAGACCACUACUUAUAUUAUAUUCAAAAAUUAUAGUAAAUAAUAAUGAUAUUAAUUAUAAUAGUAUUAAUGCAAUCAGGUAUCCUUAUGACUAUUUGCAAAUACCAAGUUCUUUAACCCUCUUAAAAAUCUGAUUCAUCAGCCACGAUUAUUAUAAUUGGUUUUGCGGGUGGAAAUACUGAAGUACACAGAGACACGGUAAUUUGCUCAAGGUCACACACAGUGAGUGGACGAGCUUGGAUCCAAACUCUGUCAGUCUGUCUCCUAAGUCUGUAUUGUCAGCCAUCAGGAAACAAGUCAUAAAUUAAUAAUCUUCUAUUUGUACUGUAAACCUGUUUGAGCUCUUUUGGAAGUUAGAGUCCUUAGAUCAUCUUUAGAAAAAGUUUUCAUCAAUAUUCCUCUAUUGCUUAAACUUUGGAGGGCUUCACUCUUUAUUUUUAUGAUCCCCAAUAGCUCAUACAGAGAAUGCUUAUCUUAUAUGACUAUGGGGUAGAUGUGAAUUUGACAAUAGAAACACCUCCUUCACAGAGUAAAGGUCACAAAAUAUCAUCCAACGUUGGGAAGCCAUCCAAGUGCCAUGUCUCUUAGUGGUUGGUAUUCGGGUACUAACAGUAUGAGCAGUAAUAGUUGAAGUUAAACCUUCUUCCCCUGUUAAUGUGAGAUGUUUGAGUAGUUAGCUAUUCUGAGCUCUGCCUGAUGAUUCAUUACUUCAAACAUAAAUAUGGAACUGUAUUAGGAGAAACUUGUAUCUGUAUAUAUUUGAACUGGUAUUGUAGAUACUUAGGACAGAGCUUCUCCAACUUUAAUGUACCUAUGAAUUACCUGGGGGUCUUAUUAGCACACAGAGAUUCUGAUUUAGUAAGUGUGAACAAAUCACAAAUAUGACCUCAAUUCUCCAUCUCUUUUUGUGUCUGUGUCCUUUGCAAUUUGAUUGUGCAGAUCCUCCCAACAAUGGAGAGACUCUGUGUCCCUUCUGCUUUAAUCUGGAUUAGCCUAUGACUUGCUUUGACCAGUAGAAUGUGGAGGGAGUAAUAUCAUACCAGUUCCAUGCCUAAGCCAUUUUCUUUCCUGGAACCUUGCAAUUAACAUGGAACAAAUUCCAGGCUAGCCUGCUGGAGCAUAAGAAGCCACAUGGAGCAGAACCUUGGUACCUCAUAUGAUAGCCAACAAGAAUGGAGUAGCAGAGAUGUGUGAUUCAACUGCAGCUGUGUGCAUCCACUGCAGUAGACACAUGAGGGAACCCAGCCAAGACCAGAAGAACCUCCCAGCUGAACUAUGUACUCAUAAACAAGUAUGAAUCACUGAUGUUUUAAGCCACUGUGUUUUGUGGUAGUUUGUUACACAGUGAUAGUUAAGUGAUCAAACAGGUCUAGGAUGGAGCCUGAUAGUCUACUUUUCUGACAAAAUCCCAGGUGGUGUUGAUGCUACUGAUUUGUGGAACACUAAGUAGCAAAGAUGUAGGAUGGGGUGGAAAAUGAUAGCAUAUCCACUGAGUCCAGCCUAUAGGCUGUUUUUCAUGGCCAGUGAACUAAGAACAUCUUAAAAUAUUUUUAACAGAAAAGCAAGAAUAACGAGGGAAGAAGGAGAAAGGGGGGGUAGAAAAAAAGGAAGACGAAGAAAAACAAAGGAGAAAAAAGGAAGAGAAAGUAAUAGAAUAGCUUUUGAAGCCUACAGUAUUUACUAUUCAGCACUUCAGAGAAAAGUUUACCCAACUCUGUUCUAGGAGAUCCUAAGAAUCUUCUACACUACAAUAUACAAUUUGACUUUUAACCUUCAGAUGGGCUCUGAGUUGUGCAUGUAACUUCUAUGUCCUCGACAUCUAGCUACAGUAGAUGUGCAAUACAUAUCUGAAGUGUUGAUGACUGAAAUAAUACAUGAAUAAAUGCAGCAGUUUUCCUGGACUGACACUCUUGGGCAAUCAUACUUAUCAUCACCCUCCCAUAAUGAUGGCAGGAAAAUAUAGCAAAUCUCUGUCUGGAACAGUCUCCUUCAAUGAUAUCUCUAUGCUUAUGUUCCAAACCCCCUUUGUGUCCCACAGUAUAGGAAUAGGGAAAAACAGAGCCCUGGGUAUUUGCUAAAGUGGACUCAAUAGAUUUCAGCAUCUCCUAGAAAUUUUGGGCAGCAAUCUCAUUCUAUUAUUACAAAGUGUGGCUAAGAUGUUACAGUGAGACAGAGGUAAAGUCCAGGUUCAAAGUCAAGUCAAAAGAGAGGUGAAAUGGAGUGUUCCACUUCUAUGCUUAGAAAAUUAUAAAGGGAAUGUGGUGCAAAGUGGUGCUGAUAAAGUCUGUAUUUUAUUGAAAUAUAUGUUGUGUGUGUACAUGUGUGCAGGAAAUUCAGAGUUUUCUAGAAAUCACACUAUACAUUAAUCUAUGUGAGCUUUGGAACCCUAAAUUCAGUACUGAUAGCAGCUUUAAUUCUCUGGCCUUUUGACUUCCUCUGUAUAAUCAUAACAAACAGAAACCAAACAAUUACACAGAUGUGUUAGGUCUGAGAGACUAGAACUCUGAUUUGACAUUCAGAGGAUAUUUUCACAAAAACUGAGGCCCUAAAAUGGUGACUGUAAAAGGAGAGAAGGAUAGAUUUAGGAAAAGAAGCUCUUCCUCUAAGAAGAGUUUCUGACACAUAGAGUAUAGUCAAUAAAUGCCCACAGCUGUUAUUGUACCAGUGGUCCCCUCACUCACAUUUGCUUAAGCCUGACCCUGUGGGUGUACACUGAAUUCUUCCUAAGCUACAAGAAAUCCCAUUUUAAUGGUGUUAAUGGACAGAUAUUAGUCUUGAAGAAUCCCUAAUUACUACUUUGAAUCCUGUCAUGAGUGUUGCCCUGUGUGGGGAAUACACACAGCAUGGAGAAGGCUGGACCCUGACUUAGCUAUUUAGUGAGUCUUCAGUGAGUGUGUAACAACUGCUCCCCCUUGCCUCAAGGUCUCUUCAUUAAAAUGGAUGCAGCAAAAUGCCAGUGGAAAGUAUAGCUGAAUUCCCCUAAAUAAUUGGCAUGGGUGAUCUGUGACUCAGUAGCAUUACUGCAUUUGAGAAAAGUAAGGAAGCUCCAGUAGUUCUUUUUGUGGAGAAAUAUUACCUGAUUCAGGAAAAGUACCCAGUGUGAAAUUCAUUAGUGAACAUGUAUGUCUGGGGAGUAGAAAUAAGGAAAAGUGGUCAGGAAGAAGAGCUGGCUGGUUCCCAUGGAAACAAACAGAACAACCAGCCCAGCUUAUUUGGUUCUAUAAUUUUAAGGAAUUUCCUCCUUAACUGGGCUCCAAAAUUUCCUGGGAAGGAGGUCUAGAGUGAAUUUAUGUACAUUAUGGGUUUUUCUAUUUCUCUAAAGAACAAAGCUAGCUGAGCAGAGCAGAAGUAAAGAUUAAGUGUUUGGUGAAGCAUUGGGGGUAAAGUAUAAAUCUAUCAUUCCAUAUGGAGCAAUAAUUUCUUAUUGUAUAAAAAGCCAGAGUGAAGAGUGGAAUGAGAUACUGAACUUUAAAGAUCCUAUAUCUGCCUAUUUUUUCACUUUCCCAUUCCAUUCACCGUCACUUCCCUUCCCUUUCAAUCUUACAGAGUGAACUAGCAUCAUAGCCCUUGAUAGCAUAUGAUUGAGCUGAAAACUUUCAUUGAUUAUUAUCUCCUAUCAUUUUCCUCCAAUUGAGUAUAUCUUUUGCCAUUCUUCUUCUAUUUUUUCAAAAUUUUACUUUAUUAUCAUAUUUUUAAUACAUGAACCUUGUAAAACUAUAAAAUACCAUAGAAGUAUAAUAAGUAAAUGUGCCAUUUCCCCUAUUUUUCUCAGAAUCCCUCCCCUUAGAGUUGGCCAUUUGCAGUAGCUUAUUGUGUAUCCUUCCAACACCUUUUAUCUAUAAUCUCAUGCACAUGUGCAUACAGAUAUUUACAUGUGUGCAUGCACACACACACACAUUAUGUACACUGGCGUAAUUUUAAAAACAAAAUUGGGGGAGUUCCUGUUGUGCUCAGCAGGUUACAAACUCAACUAGUCUCCAUGACAAUGCCAGUUUGAUCCCUGGCCUUGCUCAGUUGGUUAAGGAUCUGGCAUUGCCAUGACCUGUGGUGUAGAUCACAGACAUAGUUCAGAUCCUGCGUUGCUGUGGCGUAAGCUGGCAGCUGCAGCUCCAGUUCUACGCCUUGCCUGGGAACUUCCAUAUAUUGCAGGUGUGGCCCUAAAAUGCAAAAACAAACAAACAAACAACAAACAACCCACAAUUGGGACCCUCGAAAUAUACUUCUUUCAUUCAACAGUGAAUUGGUAAUACAGUCUCAGGUCCACACAGACAAAUCUACUGUAUUCUUUUCCAAUGUUAUCAAUAUUAUCAGCAUCCCACAAUGUAUUUUAAAUUUAGCUUAAAUUUUAUAAAGACUGCAUGCAUUUUGUAAAAUAACUGAAAAAAGUUAUUAAAAGCAUAAAAUUAAAUGUAUCCAUUCAUAGCUCCCAUACCUAAUUUCAAUUCUAAUGAAGUUACUAAUGUCAAUCAUUAUGUAUUAUAAACACAUUAUAUAUAUACACUUACAUAUAUACUCUAUAUAUACUAUCUGCAUAUAAUGAUAGUGUAUAAUAUAUAGAGUAUAUACACAGAGUGUAUAUUCUAGAUAUAUAUAUAUGCACACUCUAUCUAGAGUACAUAUAUAUAUAUACACACACACACACACUGUGUAUAUACUACAUAUAGUAUAUACUAUAUAUACUUUUGCUAUCUGGUCUACUAAUUUUGGUUAGUUCUAUGGUUUGUUCAGUUCUAAGUUUUUUUUUUUUAAUUUACAAUCUGUUCCAUGAGUAUAAGUAUAAAUAAAUAUAUACUAUCAACCAAGUAGUGUGACUGAACAGAAAAUGACGGGUAAUUUUUUUGUCAUUAAACUUUACCAUUCAAAACACAACCUUUCAAGGAGUUCCCAUUGUGAUUUAGUGGGAACGAAUCCAACUAGUAUCCAUGAGAAUGCGAGUUUGAUCCCUGGCCUUGCUCAGUGGGUUGGGGAUCCAGUGUUGUCAUGAGUUGCAGUGUAGGCUGCAGAUGCAGCU
Molecule: long non-coding RNA, 6039 nt
Filed under: Sus scrofa (pig)
Lineage: Eukaryota; Metazoa; Chordata; Mammalia; Artiodactyla; Suidae
Description: lncRNA (ENSSSCG00000053142.1)
Source: RNAcentral